Non-coding RNA from Macaca mulatta (Rhesus monkey), 2771 nucleotides. Lineage: Eukaryota; Metazoa; Chordata; Mammalia; Primates; Cercopithecidae. The record is from RefSeq and is a predicted model, not a curated record.
UGGCAGGAUUCUUUUUUUUUACUCUUUAUUUUGUUUUAUUUUUAAGGAAGUUGCUUGCAAACGUCAGCAGAGAAGCUAAGGUAUAGACUCAGAGUAACCUCUCGCUCCGACCCCUGGUGACAAGACGGAUAGUUCCAUUCAUCUAUGGGAAAUGAAGAAGAUUGGAAAAAGUUUCGUAUUCAAAAUAGAACAACAUGAUGGAGUAGGGAAAAGAGCACAGCUUUUGGAAUGUGAUGACCCAGUUCUGAUACUUAGUUUAAAUAACCUUGAGCAGGAAUCCUGUGGUAUGUAGGUAUUAGAGUCACCAAUAUAUCAAAAAGAAAACUGUGGUUGAGAGAAGCCCAGCAAUUUAAUUGAUGUCAGCUGGUAGGUCUGCAUGCAGAAACCCUGCUAAUUUCGAAGAGGGCUUCCUUUACUAUGGAAAGGAGGAUUGAGAGGAAAAUUAGAAAAGGAUUCCCAUGUAGACCUAGGGAAGGUAAGACCCCCAUAUCCUAGUUUAUAACACGAUUUCAUAAAAGGAGUGGAAGAUGAAUGUAUAUUAAAAUGAUUCAAAACAUGAGCAGACUCUGCGAGUGUUAUGCACAGAUGAGUUAAUUGUUUUGCCUUAAAUAUAUUUCCUGAAGAACAGAAGCCCGAUCACAGCACACAUCGUUAUGUAUUUUAGACAAACAGCACUUUGAAUCAAAUUAUAGUACAUGCAUAAAAUAUUAAAAUAAGACAUUUAUAACAAAUCUUUCUAACUUAGUGCUCAGCUCUAAAAUAGAUUUAUAUGUGGAUAAGCAAUAGGUGCGAUAAAUGUGGUACAGAUACCACAAUUUAAAUUGCAAAUCAACAGAGAAUCAUGGGAAAAAGGAAUGCAGACUUGAAGCACUGGAGGAAAAGAUCCAGCUAUUCAAUAUUUUUAGGUCUUUUGCCUGAUUUCGAUUUGCAAUGUCUGUAUCUGGACUCCACAUUUGAUAAAUUCCAAUGUUUGCUCUUUAACAUAGUUUAUUUACAACCCCAAUUUAAAUGAGAUAAUUAAAACCUUCAUUUAUUGUUCCUUUUGUUUACUGUUGAACUGUUGCCAAUAUACAGUUCCUGGAAUCUUCAAGCUAUUUUAGUUAGUUGGGAUAUUUUAGAAGAACAUUGCUAUUUCUCAGUUUACAAAAUAGGCAAGUGCAAUGGGAAACAAUGUCCUUACACAUGCUUGAGCACUGCCUGCUUUGCCAGAUCACCUUGCACCUUGGACUUUUCCUCCUACUCCUGUGUAGUAAAUGUGAUGACAACUCGUCUCCAGGAAUAAUCCCUGCCCAAGGAUAUUAAACUUGUUUCAUUUAUGUUGAAGAACCUUGCUUGGGGCGAUUGAGCUGAAUAUCUACAGAGCUGAGUGUUUCUGGGCAAGUUGGCCUGUUAGAAUCGAGAAGGAUUCCCCUCAAAUUGAAAGCCCUUAGAAGGCCCCUAAUGAAUGAGGUUGUGCUUUGGGACUUGCAUGAUAUCCAAUGCAUUUUGGGGAAGUAGAUUCUUUGCUCCCGGCGUCUCUGGAUGUAGAUGAACAUGUAAGAUUUGCCCAGGCUACGUUUUUGAAGACCAGAGACCCAUGAACCAAGGGAAGGAGGAGCAGCCACAAAGGGUUGUGUCAGUAUUUCUGAGUGCCGACAACUUAAGAGAUCUCUUUCAGCCAACAAUUUACUUGCAGCUACAGAAUUAAAACAUUUCUUCUUAGCAAGGGGUUGUUUGCUUGGAAACAUUUCUUCUUUGCCUGAUCUAUAUGCUGGAAGUUUCUCUUCCCAUUGAAUAUCUCUAAUAUUAGCUUUUCCUCACAGAGAGUGUCUGUACAGCCAUAUUUUAUUUUCUUAUAAAAAUUGUAUCAAGUUUUUUAAUGCCCAGGUUUCUUGUGCAAUUAACUUACCUUCCUGUUUCCCACUCUGUUUACAAUAAUUGUUUCCAAGACUUUUUUGGAAGUUACUUCGUUGAAAAUAAUUAAGGACGAAAUAAAUUUUUUCAUAUUCAAGAUUUCAGGUGGCAAUAUUCAACCAGACUUUACAUCAAUUAACCAUGGCAGAAGAGAAAAAAAUGAGACCUAUUCUAAAUUUCCACUGUAACAUUAGAUCCACAAAAUUAUAUCUGCUGAUGUUUACCUCUAUCUAGGUCAAGAAGCAUUAAUGACAAGAGAACUUUAAGGAGCAAGAAAUUAAAUACUUCCACACCUCACAACAUUAGAUUGUUCCUGGAACUAAAGUGCCAUUAUGGGUUCCUGCCAUGCUAAAUGAGUUUUCCUAAAAUUUGUGUGUUGGAAACUCAACCCCUCUGCCCUCAUGAAUGAAUUAAUGGAUUCAUGGGAAUAAUGUUGCUAUCAUGAAAGUGAGUUCUUUAUCAUGGGAGUGGCUUUGUUAUAAAAGCAAGCUCUCACUGGCUUUUUUGCUCUUGCCUUCUCACUAUGUGAUGUCCUGUGCCAUAUUAUGACAAAGCAAGAAGACCCUCACCAGAUGCUGGCACCAUGUUCUUGUACUUCCCAGUCUUCAGAACCAUGAGCUGAAUAAACUUCCUUCGCAGUCUUUGGUAUUCUGUCAUAGUGACAGAAAAAGUAUUAAGAUAUUUCCCAAUUAUCCAUUCCAAUAAGAGUCAAAUGCAGUUUUAAAACAGAGAGGUAAAGAGUUAGAUCUGUGCCAUCACAGUAGCCACUGGCCACAAUGUAGCUACUGAACACUUGAAAAUGCAGCUAGUCUUAGUUGAGCAAAACUGUAAAUACAAAAUACAUACCGGUGUUAAACCCUUAAUACAUAAAAGUAAAU